CUCCACUACUGAAAAACAUGCCUUAAAAAGGCCCGAGUGCAUUGUUGUUGUUGCAUUCACUUCUAAAUGCUUUAAUACAUUUCCAACACUUAAAAGUUCCUUUCCACUCCGAAUUUUAAUCCAACUCCACAUUUUCCUGUCUCCUCUUUCUGUACUCUCAGAGGCCCUGUUGUAGUUACGCAUUUCCACCGCGCCUAGGCGCUGUUGCCUAGCCGUGCCCCUCUCCCCACUCUCUCUCCGCUUGCCCAGCCUGCCUCUCUACUGCCUCUCUGCCUCAGCCAACCCGGGCUGUGCCGAGCUGCUCCCUACGGGAUCAGAGCGCUCCCCCGCCGGGACCCUUCUCUCACAUCCCCCUGCUGGGACGCGGCUACAUUUCCAGCCAAGCACUGCCUGCCUUGGCUUUAUUAUGUGUGUCUGCGCCGCAGCCCCGCCAGCAGAGGCAGGCAGAGGAGGAGGGAGACUGGUAGCCAGAGUCAGGACAAAGAAAAAGCAGGGAGACAGAGGCUAGCGGAGGGUUAUACUGCUGAAAUAUUAGCCUGCAAUUAAUACAGCCGGUUAAGGCACUGGGCAAUAUUAACAAAAGACAGCUAGCCUAGUCAGGGCAGCCCUUUGGGGUGGAGAAGCAAGGCAGUCUGAGCGAUAUGCCCGUGGCACCAGGGCACCUCUACUAGAGUAGAAAAGCGGGACGGAACACGGGAAGAUUCUCGGUUCGGGUCGCUGCCGCUUUCCUGGAUGAGCAAACUAAAAUAAACAGACAUAAAUAGUUUUGCUUCACUUAUGGCCACGAAGAAGAUGCGAGGGACGACGAGAAGACACUACAUUUAAUUUCACAAAAGCAACAUUUGUGCAGUUUCCGCAGUCUCCCAUCACCUGGCUGUCACGCUGUGCUGGUGGUCAGUGUAUCAAACACCGCGCGGGACAUCGGUGCUUCAAACCAGGGACACCGCUACGCCAGCGACAGUGUGCGGGGAAAACCAGCGACUCGACCGUCGAAGAGGCGACACACGAGGGAAGUUGUUUCCCUGUACUCCACAGGUUGCGUGUUAAGAGAACGGAAGAGCGUGCUGCUUCCUCGGGCUCCACUCCGGUGUGGGGCGAGCAGCCGCUGGACAAACGCCGCUUUCCACUCACAGACUCGAGCUGCCGCAUUGCAACAGGCGGAGAGGACCAGCCGAGAGUGGAGGAGGAGGAUAGAUGGUCUGAAGGGUCCUGUAUGGUUAGUCCAAAACGCGGAACGGAGUCAAACAAACCGACAAGAAAUAGAACAUUAUAGAGAUGUCAAGACGAAAACAAGCAAAACCACGCUCCGUGAAAGCGGUGGAAGAAGGGGAGUCUUCUGAAUGCACUGGGCCUGGGACGAAUCAAGCAUCCAGACAGGUCAGUUGUACGCUGCUCCGUAUUUG
RNAcentral lists this long non-coding RNA (1403 nucleotides) under Neogobius melanostomus (round goby). RNAcentral describes it as "lncRNA (ENSNMLG00000007443.1)". Lineage: Eukaryota; Metazoa; Chordata; Actinopteri; Gobiiformes; Gobiidae. The record is from RNAcentral.